This 813-nucleotide long non-coding RNA is filed under the name Homo sapiens (human). RNAcentral describes it as "OIP5 antisense RNA 1". Lineage: Eukaryota; Metazoa; Chordata; Mammalia; Primates; Hominidae. The record is from RNAcentral.
CUGCGAAGAUGGCGGAGUAAGGCGUGCCGCUGCAAACUGGCCUCUGGGCCGGGGGCGAGCAGCCCCCGGGAGGCCGAGUGCAUCUGUUGGACCGUGCGAGGAGAAGAAAAAAAAUAUCGGCCAGAGGAGAGGAACUAACCGAACAUUCUUCCUCCCUACCUUAUAGAGGGGAGUGGUCAUCUACACUAAAGCAAAGUGUUAGGCGCGUCCGUGCGAAGAGACCACCAAACAGGCUUUGUGUUCCUUAUCACAGGAAGAAAAUUUUCCUUGACCUUUAGGUGCUUUUAUAUUCAUCUCAAAAACAAAAUUCUGAACUCAGGACUUGGCAAACCACCGCUGAAACUUCACUUCUACACAGAGGCUUUCUUUCCCAGAAACCCAGACCAGUAGAGACGAGGUUUCACCACGUUGGCGAGGCUGGUCUUGAACUCCUGACCUCAAGUGAUCCACUGCCUCGGCCUCCGAAAAUCUGGAAUUAUAGAUGUGAGCCACUGCGCCAGGCCUGUAAUUUUAUGUAUCUUUAUGUGAUUAUUUGAAUGUCCCUCUCUGACUAGAUUAUAAAUUCUAAGGAUAGUGUGUCUAUUUUUGCUUACCUUUUAUCCCCAGCACCUAGUCUAACACUUUACAAAUAUAUAUUAAAUUAAUAUUUUGAUAAGUUACUCAAAGUGCUACAUAAAACAAAAUUAUAGAAAAUAGUACUUUGGUAACUGUUUCGUUUUAUCAUUGCUUUCAUUAUUUCUCUGUUAACCUCAGUUUACAACUGAAAAAGACAAAUUGUAUAUUAUUCAGGCAAUUUAUUAAACAUUACCUAUA